GAUGAACGCUGGCGGCGUGCCUAAUACAUGCAAGUCGAGCGAACGGACGAGAAACUUUCUUCUCUGAUGUUAGCGGCGGACGGGUGAGUAACACGUGGAGGACCUAACUAUAAGACUGGGAUAACUUCGGGAAACCGGCGCUAGGACCGGAGAAUUAUUUGAUCAGAAUGGUUCAGAAGUAGAAGAGGGCCUUGCUGGCGCUUGUAACUAGAUCCGCGCUGCAUUAUCUAGUUGGUGAGGUAACGGCUUACCAAGGCAACGAUGCAUAGCCGCCCUGAGAGGGUGAUCGGCCACACGGGAACUGAGACCCGUUCCCGACUCCUACGGGAGGCAGCAGUAGGGAAUCUUCCGCAAUGGGCGAAUGCCUGACGUAGCAACGCGGCGGGAGUGCUGAAGGUCUUCUGAUCGGAAAACUCUGUUAUUAGGGAAGAACAUAUGUGUAAGUAACUGUGAACAUCUUGACGGUACCUAAUCAGAAAGCCACGGCUAACUCCGUG
RNAcentral lists this ribosomal RNA (497 nucleotides) under uncultured bacterium. RNAcentral's name for it is "partial 16S ribosomal RNA". It matches the Rfam family "Bacterial small subunit ribosomal RNA", at positions 28 to 507 of the family's 1533-position model. The record is from RNAcentral.